CGAACGCUGGCGGCGUGCUUAACACAUGCAAGUCGAACGCGAAAGGGACUUCGGUCCUGAGUAAAGUGGCGCACGGGUGAGUAACGCGUAGAUAACCUGUCUUCAUGUCUGGAAUAAUACGCCGAAAGGGGUACUAAUACCGGAUAUUCUUGCUUUUCAUAAGUUAUGCAAGCAAAGGUGGCCUCUGCAUAUGCUACUGCAUGAAGAGGGGUCUGCGUACCAUUAGCUAGUAGGUGGGGUAAUGGCCUACCUAGGCGACGAUGGUUAGCGGGUCUGAGAGGAUGAUCCGCCACACUGGCACUGGAACACGGGCCAGACUCCUACGGGAGGCAGCAGUGAGGAAUAUUGCGCAAUGGGGGAAACCCUGACGCAGCGACGCCGCGUGAGUGAGGAAGGCCUUCGGGUCGUAAAGCUCUGUCAAGAGGAAAGAAGUGUACAAUGGCUAAUACCUGUUGUAUUUGACGGUACCUCUAAAGGAAGCACCGGCUAACUCCGUGCCAGCCGCGGC
RNAcentral lists this ribosomal RNA (508 nucleotides) under uncultured bacterium. Its description in RNAcentral is "bacterial SSU rRNA". It matches the Rfam family "Bacterial small subunit ribosomal RNA", at positions 30 to 518 of the family's 1533-position model. The record is from RNAcentral.